RNAcentral lists this ribosomal RNA (443 nucleotides) under uncultured bacterium. Its description in RNAcentral is "partial 16S ribosomal RNA". It matches the Rfam family "Bacterial small subunit ribosomal RNA", at positions 338 to 795 of the family's 1533-position model. The record is from RNAcentral.
CCUACGGGUGGCAGCAGUGGGGAAUAUUGGGCAAUGGGCGCAAGCCUGACCCAGCAACGCCGCGUGAAGGAAGAAGGCUUUCGGGUUGUUAACCUCUUUUUUUAGGGACGAAGCAAGUGACGGUACCUGCUGAAUAAGUCACGGCUAACUACGUGCCAGCAGCCGCGGGAAUACGUAGGUGGCAAGCGUUAUCCGGAUUUACUGGGUGUAAAGGGUGUUUAGGCGGGAGUGCAAGUCAGAUGUGAAAACUAUGGGCUCAACCCAUAGCCUGCAUUUGAAACUGUACUUCUUGAGUUCUGGAGAGGCAAGCGGAAUUCGGUGUGUAGCGGUGAAAUGCGUAGAUAUACGGAGGAACACCAGUUGCGAAGGCAGAUUGCUGGACAGUAACUGACGCUGAGGCGCGAAAGCGUGGGGAGCAAACAGGAUUAGAUACCCGGGUAGUC